RNAcentral lists this long non-coding RNA (837 nucleotides) under Cercocebus atys (sooty mangabey). RNAcentral's name for it is "lncRNA (ENSCATG00000045601.1)". The record is from RNAcentral. Lineage: Eukaryota; Metazoa; Chordata; Mammalia; Primates; Cercopithecidae.
AUGUGUAGAAGUCUGACUUGUUCCUUUUGUAUUUUAAUAAGAUAGAGGUGAGACAAUUUAUGUCCAUGGGCUUUGUGUGCUGUGUUUGUAACCUUUUUUUCUUGCUCUGGUGUUUAAUGGUUAUCUUUCCAGAAGACCAGUUUGUCUUGUCUAUGUCACAGCAAACAUCAAAGCCUUGGUCUUUGACUUGGGAAUGCAGGAGUCUUACUAGGUCCAGGCACUGACUAAGAUGCGAGGUAUCUGGUGAGACUCCCUCAUGCUCACUACUUGAACAUAGUUGUUUCUUUGAGAUCGUCUUAAAUCUUCAGUCCCACGCUCCAUAUGCCGCAUCCAGCAAAAGUCCCUGAGGGACUCACAGUCUCCAACCACCAGGGCACUGACAUUAACUCUAUGUCCUUUUAGGUUCCUCUGAGGACAGCCUGAGUUUAAAAUCUCUACCACCAAGUGAGGAAGACAAUGAUGAUGUCCAGAUAUUACCAUCACAUGUCCAGGGUACGUACCUUGAACUAACUCACUUUCUGAGAAACAAACUUGCUGGCUUUAUUAUUUUUAUUUUUUUAUUUUUUAUUUUUAUUUAUUUUUUUAUUUUUUUGAGACAGAGUCUCUCUCUGUCGCCCAGGCUGGAGUGCAGUGGCUCGAUCUCGGCUCACUGCAAGCUCCGCCUCCCAGGUUCACGCCAUUCUCCUGCCUCAGCCUCCCAUAUAGCUGGGACUACAGGUACCCACCACCGCUCCUGGCUAAUUUUUGUAUUUUUAGUAGAGACGGGUUUUCACCAUGUUAGCCAGGAUGGUCUCGAUCUCCUGACCUCGUGAUCUGCCCGUCUUGGCCUCCCAAGGA